Galleria mellonella (greater wax moth) is the source of this 2828-nucleotide long non-coding RNA. RefSeq lists it as uncharacterized. The transcript has 3 exons. The record is from RefSeq and is a predicted model, not a curated record. Lineage: Eukaryota; Metazoa; Arthropoda; Insecta; Lepidoptera; Pyralidae.
CGAUAUAGCAUAUCAUUUUCGAUUAAAUUAAGGAUGUCAAGUUAGUAUUUUAAUAUAGUUAUUUUUUUAUUUCGAAAGAAUAAAUCAAAAAUAUAUUUUUUGUUUUCAUAAAGUUUUUUCAAUACGAUUUUUUUUCAUAAGAGGUAAACUUCUGUAUUUAUUGUAUUAUUUGUGUAUCAGUUUCAUGGAUAGGCCUUUACAUAAAUUUUUUGAGUGCUCCGGCGAAGGGCCUCGGCUCGACUAUCAAAUAUGGUUAAAGUGGACAUAUGAAAUGGAAGGCUGAGUACAAGCAACACACACGACUUUUAAUCUAAUAAUCUCAUAUUUAUUCAGAGAUGUCUUAAUACAUAGAAUGGUUAUUCAAUCUGCACUGUAGGUGUUCCGCCUUACCAGUGAGGGAUGAUAUGUGAGGAUGAAAGCAGAUCAGUUAAUGUAUCGUGACGAAUUCAACAAGAAUUAAUACUAUAUACGUUUCUGGGGAAAUACGUGGAGGUAUAUUCCUUAUAGGUAAUGUAACAUUUAGCAAAUAAAAAUAUUAAUAGGUAUUUAUUCUAUAUAUUUAAUAAAAAUAUUUAUAUAUGUAAAGGUUAUUUCAAUAAUAAAUUAAAAUUAUUUUGGCACACAACACAUUUAUUUUGGCUUCACAGAUUAUGGAGAUUGUUUUUCUUUUAUGUCCGUCAUCAUCUUUUGUUAUGCAGACAUUGACUGUAUUUUAAAUAAUUAGCAUUAUUUGUGUAUUUGUUGAUUGAUUAUAAUACAAUAUAUAUUUAUAAAAUAAAUUGCGACGUCUGUCCGCAUAAUUACUAUUUGCACGUAUUUCGAACAGUUAUCGUGUGACGCGAGCUAUCUACCGCACAUAUUGGAGGAUAAAAUAUCCAAAAUGGCGUUUGAGAAGGUGGGGAGGAGUCGCGCAUAGUCAGGAUUCGUAAAAAAAAAACUGACAGAAUUGAAAUUGACAAGAAUUGUGUAAGAAGUGGACUUAAUGUGAAGAAACCAGACUCGGAGAACGUUGAUGAAAAGAGAAAUGAUUUUAACAGAGAAACCAAAGCGAGAACAGGUACAAGAGGUAAGCAAGAAAAAGGACAAGAGCUAAGGUUUUAUGGUUCAUAAGAGAUGAGACUUAAUAAUUUAAUAAUGCAUCUAUAUUUCAGAGAAAUUACAAAUAUAUAAAAAUACAUAUAACUCAUGUAAUGAUGUCACCGUCCAUGAUUAUGAUAUGAGUGAAAUAGAUGAUCAUUUCAUGGAAAAGUACUCCUACAGAAUGAUCCAUGGGCGAGUUUAACCUCCAAAAUUUCUUACCAGAGACUUUGUUCAAGUCGACUGCAUGGCUACCUCUGUCCCACCCGUGUUCCCGCCGUGAAGCAGCUGCGCUCGCAUGGCUCGAAGGCUGGAAUAUGGCAGCGAGAUCACAAGACACGGAGGCACAACACCAUAGUCCUCGAGGGGGGAAGGGAUUGCUAGUAAUGCGGACUAUCAGCCCUAUUGCUAGCAAUAUACCCGAACAGGUCGACCUCCACGCGGUUCCCCCUGGAAACCAUCGUGACUAAUCAUUGUUCAAUUGGUCACGAUGGGCCAACUGGCCUGUGCCCAUGGCGUCCCGCCGGCGUACAUCGCUAGCGGAGGCGAGGCUGCCAUGGACACCACCACGCCAUUGUUCGUGGUGGAUUAAAAUAAAACUCUUAAUAGUUUAGUUAAGAACCUUUUUUUUUUUGUUUAUUGCUGAUUUGUAAAUAUCGCUCGUGGUGUUGGUGGUGGAGCGUCGCUGUGUUAAGUACUAUUUUGUAGCAUGCUGUCUCGAAAUCGUACCUGCCGACCGGUUCCCUUACCACCUCACCAAUGUGUUUUUCUAGUAAGAUCGUUUUUUCUAUAUACAAUAUUCAUUAUAUUUAGUUUGCCUCAAGCAUACAGCAUGUGUCCAAUAUAACAUGUGUCUAGUUAGAGUAGUGUAAGCAUUUCAUUUAAUAUAGGUUUUUUUUUCUAUUACUCGCCAUUGGCGUAAUGUAGCGUAAACAUUAUAACUAGACUCGAGUACGUUCCCCACUCGGCUGCGGUGUUCGGGGGCUGAUUGGGUGGUCUCCAACGAAGCGGCCGGGUGGAUGGUGUGUCGAGGGACGUCCGCCAUUAAAAAGUUUUAUUUCUCGUUUCAUUAAUUCUUUAGCGUAAGGUAUUGAAAACAUAACAUAUAUAUAUACAACUAAAUAUGUGAGUAGUUUAAGCAUUUCAUUUAAUUCAUAUUAUAGUUUUUUUUUUUCUUUUAUAUAUAAUGUAUUUAGCGUAAGGAAGUGUGACGCCUAAUUCGUGCAGCUUCCGCCUUGUCCCCGGAGGCUGCUGCUAAUUGUCUGGACAAACAGACGGUCACCGUUUAGUAUGUAGUUUUCUUAUUAUAAUUAGGUUAUUAAACGCGAGCAGUGAAAUGGUUAAUACACUGUAAUAUUAGCUUUUAUAUACAACUUUCUAAUUCUUGUCAGAAUAAACAUUUGAUAGUCUAAGCAUUUGUUAGUUUAAGCGUUUGUUAGUUUAAGCAUUGGUUAGUUUAAGCAUUGGUUAGUGUAAGCGUAUGUUUCCAGACCGUCGUUAUUCUGUAGAAGCUGAGAGAGUUUCUCGGCGCAUGCUUCCAACGCAGGUGGCAACGAUAGGCUACUAUGAAAUUGGGAUCAUCUUUGUGGCUUUGGCAGGUUCCAGCCAGCAAGGGUGUACAGGCACCUCCUGUGGCGGGCAUACGCUGACAAACUUUCAGCUUACUGGAUAACGGAAGUCUAUUAAUUUUAAGUAACUUUCAUUAGUAAUUCCUUUUCUUAAUUUCUCUAAAUAAAUAGUUUUCAUUUAUA